RNAcentral lists this unclassified non-coding RNA (390 nucleotides) under uncultured fungus. Its description in RNAcentral is "partial contains 5.8S ribosomal RNA and internal transcribed spacer 2". The stretch from base 1 to 133 matches the Rfam family "5.8S ribosomal RNA", at positions 22 to 154 of the family's 154-position model. Lineage: Eukaryota; Fungi. The record is from RNAcentral.
UGGCUCUCGCAUCGAUGAAGAACGCAGCGAAAUGCGAUAAGUAAUGUGAAUUGCAGAAUUCAGUGAAUCAUCGAAUCUUUGAACGCACCCUGCGCCCUUUGGUAAUCCAAGGGGCAUGCCUGUUUGAGUGUCUUGAAGCUCUCAAACGUACUCCUUUCUUUGCGGAGGAGACGUUUGGAUGUGGGCGCGUCUGCCGGUUGGAAACGAUCGGCUCGCCCUAAAUGCAUUAGCUGGCUUUUGGUCCGCUGUUCCCGGUGUGAUAAUGGUCACUCGCCGGGGCGUGGCGGAACGCGAGAGAGCCGCUUCGAAAAAAAGACGGGAGGGAGAGUGAUCUCCCCCCCUCGAUAUAUUCAAGUGUUUGACCUCAAAUCAGGUAGGACUACCCGCUGA